RNAcentral lists this ribosomal RNA (1117 nucleotides) under uncultured bacterium. RNAcentral describes it as "bacterial SSU rRNA". It matches the Rfam family "Bacterial small subunit ribosomal RNA", at positions 231 to 1353 of the family's 1533-position model. The record is from RNAcentral.
UCGCGGCCUAUCAGUUUGUUGGUGAGGUAAUGGCUCACCAAGACGACGACGGGUAGCCGGCCUGAGAGGGCGACCGGCCACACUGGGACUGAGACACGGCCCAGACUCCUACGGGAGGCAGCAGUGGGGAAUAUUGCACAAUGGGGGAAACCCUGAUGCAGCGACGCAGCGUGCGGGAUGACGGCCUUCGGGUUGUAAACCGCUUUCAGCAGGGAAGAAGCCUUUAUCGGUGACGGUACCUGCAGAAGAAGUACCGGCUAACUACGUGCCAGCAGCCGCGGUAAUACGUAGGGUACAAGCGUUGUCCGGAAUUAUUGGGCGUAAAGAGCUCGUAGGUGGUUGGUCACGUCUGCUGUGGAAACGCAACGCUUAACGUUGCGCGUGCAGUGGGUACGGGCUGACUAGAGUGCAGUAGGGGAGUCUGGAAUUCCUGGUGUAGCGGUGAAAUGCGCAGAUAUCAGGAGGAACACCGGUGGCGAAGGCGGGACUCUGGGCUGUAACUGACACUGAGGAGCGAAAGCAUGGGGAGCGAACAGGAUUAGAUACCCUGGUAGUCCAUGCCGUAAACGUUGGGCACUAGGUGUGGGGGACAUUCCACGUUCUCCGCGCCGUAGCUAACGCAUUAAGUGCCCCGCCUGGGGAGUACGGUCGCAAGGCUAAAACUCAAAGGAAUUGACGGGGGCCCGCACAAGCGGCGGAGCAUGCGGAUUAAUUCGAUGCAACGCGAAGAACCUUACCAAGGCUUGACAUACACCAGACCGUUCUGGAAACAGUUCCUCCCCUUUGGGGUUGGUGUACAGGUGGUGCAUGGUUGUCGUCAGCUCGUGUCGUGAGAUGUUGGGUUAAGUCCCGCAACGAGCGCAACCCUCGUUCUAUGUUGCCAGCACGUGAUGGUGGGAACUCAUAGGAGACUGCCGGGGUCAACUCGGAGGAAGGUGGGGAUGACGUCAAAUCAUCAUGCCCUUUAUGUCUUGGGCUUCACGCAUGCUACAAUGGCUGGUACAGAGAGAUGCGAGACCGCGAGGUUUUAGCGAAUCCCUUAAAGCCAGUCUCAGUUCGGAUCGUAGUCUGCAAUUCGACUACGUGAAGUCGGAGUCGCUAGUAAUCGCAGAUCAGC